RNAcentral lists this ribosomal RNA (540 nucleotides) under uncultured Caryophanales bacterium. RNAcentral describes it as "bacterial SSU rRNA". It matches the Rfam family "Bacterial small subunit ribosomal RNA", at positions 973 to 1511 of the family's 1533-position model. The record is from RNAcentral. Lineage: Bacteria; Bacillati; Bacillota; Bacilli; Caryophanales.
ACCAGGUCUUGACAUCCUCUGACACUCCUAGAGAUAGGACUUUCCCCUUCGGGGGACAGAGUGACAGGUGGUGCAUGGUUGUCGUCAGCUCGUGUCGUGAGAUGUUGGGUUAAGUCCCGCAACGAGCGCAACCCUUGAUCUUAGUUGCCAGCAUUCAGUUGGGCACUCUAAGGUGACUGCCGGUGACAAACCGGAGGAAGGUGGGGAUGACGUCAAAUCAUCAUGCCCCUUUAUGACCUGGGCUACACACGUGCUACAAUGGAUGGUACAAAGGGCAGCGAAGCCGCGAGGUGGAGCCAAUCCCACAAAACCAUUCUCAGUUCGGAUUGCAGGCUGCAACUCGCCUGCAUGAAGCCGGAAUCGCUAGUAAUCGCGGAUCAGCAUGCCGCGGUGAAUACGUUCCCGGGCCUUGUACACACCGCCCGUCACACCACGAGAGUUUGUAACACCCGAAGUCGGUGGGGUAACCGUAAGGAGCCAGCCGCCUAAGGUGGGACAGAUGAUUGGGGUGAAGUCGUAACAAGGUAGCCGUAUCGGAAG